GACGAACGCUGGCGGCGUGCCUAAUACAUGCAAGUUGAGCGCUGAAGGUUGGUACUUGUACCAACUGGAUGAGCAGCGCACGGGUGAGUAACGCGUGGGGAAUCUGCCUUUGAGCGGGGGACAACAUUUGGAAACGAAUGCUAAUACCGCAUAAAAACUUUAAACACAAGUUUUAAGUUUGAAAGAUGCAAUUGCAUCACUCAAAGAUGAUCCCGCGUUGUAUUAGCUAGUUGGUGAGGUAAAGGCUCACCAAGGCGAUGAUACAUAGCCGACCUGAGAGGGUGAUCGGCCACAUUGGGACUGAGACACGGCCCAAACUCCUACGGGAGGCAGCAGUAGGGAAUCUUCGGAAAUGGACGAAAGUCUGACCAAGCAACGCCGCGUGAGUGAAGAAGGUUUUCGGAUCGUAAAACUCUGUUGGUAGAGAAGAACGUUGGUGAGAGUGGAAAGCUCAUCAAGUGACGGUAACUACCCAGAAAGGGACGGCUAACUACGU
RNAcentral lists this ribosomal RNA (496 nucleotides) under uncultured bacterium. Its description in RNAcentral is "partial 16S ribosomal RNA". It matches the Rfam family "Bacterial small subunit ribosomal RNA", at positions 28 to 506 of the family's 1533-position model. The record is from RNAcentral.